Molecule: non-coding RNA, 102 nt
Filed under: Evansella cellulosilytica
Lineage: Bacteria; Bacillati; Bacillota; Bacilli; Caryophanales; Bacillaceae
Also listed under: 1 other name
Description: Bacillus cellulosilyticus Guanine sequence
Rfam family: Purine riboswitch aptamer
About the family: Riboswitches are metabolite binding domains within certain messenger RNAs that serve as precision sensors for their corresponding targets.
Source: RNAcentral
AAGAAUUGAAUAUCAUUACCUCGUAUAAUCUUGGGAAUAUGGCCCAUAAGUAUCUACCUAAUGACCGGAAAUUAUUAGACUAUGAGGGAGACUGCCGUGUGU